UUUUGGCCGAGUUUGAUAUCAGGCCCGUUUAUCAAGCCCGUUCCUCAGGCCCACUUCUCAAGCCCAACACUGUUAAUUACCUAGGAGCAGCCACCUCCCAUUUUCUGGCAAUUUUGCUGCCAACCUUUAAUUGGACAGAGAAGAAGGCGGCAGCCCUCUCUUCUCUAUAAAAACAUCAAAUUCGUACAAAGGAAAGGGGGUGGAGUUUGAAGCAGAAGAAAUCCUAACAUCUUCCCCCAAAUCCCCAAAUAGCAGUAGCAAUACGAAAUCCCAAACUAGUGUUUCCCAAAAAAAAUAAUGAAAUACCAACAGAAAAAAAUAUCGCUAAAUAGCCUAUACAGCCAAACUUUCUACUCCUAAACUCCUGGAACUGACUUCUAACCCUAACAAAAAUCCAAGAUAUACCCACAAGAAGGCCUUGAAGCUAUCGUCGUCCGUCUAGGAGUCGCUAAGGGGAAAGAACACGUGAAUCCGAGAAGCAAAAGCCACCACAACCUGAAAGCAAAAGGAGAUCUCGUAGGAAAAGGUAAGGUACUCCAAAACCCGCAUUUAUUCAGACAUUCAUGACACUAUUACGAUUAUCACCCUUGUUUUCAUGUUUAUGUACUUUUUUUUUGUCCUUACUAUCCUUUGUUAAUGCUACUUACCAAUAUACUUCAUAGCAUGCUAUUAAGCAAUGAAAGGAUCAAAGAAUAAAAUGACUAAAUUACACCAAGUGAAAUACCCACACCCCAAGUAGGUUGAAGCCUCUUCCAAAUGACCAACUAUUGCCUACCUUAGCACCAUUAGCAUCAAAGACCCAAGUAUCAUACAAAUACUCGGAAUUUGGAUUCGGUUUCACAAACAAACCAUGAGUUAUUCUAACAACUUUAUGGCUGGAAUUUCACAAAAAAAAUCAGCUUAAUCAAAUCUGUCAAAGAAGUCAAUUGUCAUGGUGUCAAAAUAAUUGGUUUUGCUUCAAUUUUGAGUGGGUCAAGUUUUCACCCAUCAAUAUGCAUAUUUAUUUAUGCCUAAGAGAAGGGAUGAUAAGCCCUUAUUUUAAUCGGGUCAUUUAGCUAGCAAAAAUUUAAAUAAGAAUCUCGUACUUAGCUUUUUGGUCUUUACGAAUCGGAUCAAGUCAUUCCCCUUUCCGACUCCCUCGAACAAGUCAAUCCACAAGCUUCUUUCUAUACCUGAAGUAACAUCAAAAACAAAAUCACAUCCUAUCUUCGCAAACAGAGGGUUUAUUAAAGAUAAUAAAAAAGAGGUCUUUUUACCUAUUCGGCCGCUCCCGUGGACGUCCGGUUCACCGGCGACGAAUCCAGGACCGGUGGUCCUGUUUUCAUCGUUGGAUCCAUUCAUCCCCCCGCCGACACCCAAUAAAAAAAACGCAUUGAGUUACAAAAACCAUAACAAGAAAAUAUAAACGUAAGAUAAAAUCAUGGAUUUGUAGAUCGGGGUUUGCAUGUCGGAGGAGGAGUUGUCGGAUGCGUCCCCCGGUCACAUGCAAGGCCAGACUUUGCUAAAAUCGAAAAUAAGAGAGGAUUAGGGUUGGAGGCGAUGUUUACCUCCGUUUUUAACGCCCACUCUACGAGGCAGGGAUGACGAGAAAAAGAGGGACGGGGUUGGAUGCUUACUUGGAUCAUUUUCUCGUCGUCAUCGUCACCUCCACUGAUGGAUGGAGGACGAAAUCGCGAGUGAUAGUUCUGUUCUUUUGUGAAAGAUGAUGAUGAGAGAGUGGGGGUGUUCUCUUGUGAAAGAUGAUGAUGAGAGAGUGGAGUUGAGAGGCGGGAGGAGGAUUGUAGGGUUGGAGAGUGGGGAUUUCGGUGUCUAUUAAGUAUUUGUACCUAGGAUAUUAAGGCUCCAGGCCAUAAUUUAUUAUUAAGUAAUGGGCUCUUGUUAAUUUAAGCAAAAUUCAGUGUUGGUCUUUGGGCUGCACUAAGGCCUACCGUGAUAAACAUAAUUCUGCCAAUUUAGAGCCUUCUAAACCCAAGAUAAGCCUGCAUUCAAUUAGAUUAUGAUGGUCUUUAGCUAAAUUAGUUAAUUAAAAAGAAGAGGGGAAGGCGUAUGGGGUAAUUUUGUAUAAUUAAUGAAUUGUGUUCUCUGAU
This 2087-nucleotide long non-coding RNA is filed under the name Linum usitatissimum (flax). RNAcentral's name for it is "long non-coding RNA (LUSI_LNC003480)". The record is from RNAcentral. Lineage: Eukaryota; Viridiplantae; Streptophyta; Magnoliopsida; Malpighiales; Linaceae.